AUAAUAGUGCAUUCCAUAAUAAUUUAUCCAAAUCUUGAAAGGGCUCUCUUAUAUCCACUAAAUUCACCACAUGGAGUUUGUUCAUCUAAAUGCUUACAUAGUACAAAAAGACUUUGAAAUGCGAAGAAAGACAGAGAAAGAGAGUGUCUGAGUGUGCACGGCCUAAUUGCUUGGGGUUUCAGAGAUACUCCCGAACUGAACACCAGGCCUUGUAGAUGCUGCAUCAUAGCUUUUCUCAGCUUAUCAAUUCUUUUACGAAGCUUAUAGUUCGAGAGGCAACCAUUUCUUUCUUUCAGCAUGUUCACUUGAAUUUUGACAUCUCUGUAGCUCUUUAUCAAGACGUUACUUUUUCUAGGAAUUCUCUAGCCUCACUCUCAAAAGCGUCUGCACUUUCUUUAGAUUUUGUACAGUAAAGACAUGUUUUUUUACCCCAUCCCAUGCCGAUGUUAAAGGCGUAGCACAGUACCAUAGCACAUGUGAAGCUGCAAUAUCCAUAUAUAUAGCUAGCUAGAAUAUAUGCUGGAUGGGCUGUUCUUUUCAACUCUUGAGUGAGUAUGGAUAAGGGAGUGUAUUUUCUGAGCUACGAGAAGACAAGGAAAAAACUACAGAGGAACAUACAUGAAAGUAACUGGCUCCAGGAUCACCCGUUAGUAACAAGAGUGAAGGAUGAAGUGUUUAAAUGGAAUUUACAACAUAUCAGGCCUCAUGAGAAGCAGGAAGAUGAACCAAGUGAUUGUGAGAUUUAUUUGUUCCUCUUUCUUUGUCAAAAGUAAAUAUCAACUUUUUGAUUGUGAGAUUUAUUUAAUCUCUUUUACAUUUGAAAAAAAUCACUACAUAGUCCUGUGGAUGAAACACUUUUGGUGAACCUGAAAAUUUAAAGGCACAGCAACAUUGAGAGAAGCACCAGUAAUAGUAACAGAAUUACCAGAUCAAACUUCUAAAUCCAAGCACACACUAAACAGAUAUCAAGAACAUGACACAAAUUACUUCCAGACAGACAGGGGGAAUUCAAUGGCUUAAAAUUAUGUUCAAGAUACCUUUAUCUGAAAAGUUGAAAAGAAAAGUCAGAAAGCCAAACUAAGACUUACAUAGACGCUGCUGCCACUUCAAAUUAAAUGGUGACAUAGGAAUAGUUCACUACAAUUGUGAGUGUCAUGCUUGAAACAACAUUAUAUUCUGAGGGUUAAAGAGCUUGCGGGGUUGGUCGCGUGGAACCUGUGAUCUGAUUUAUAAGAGUAAGGGAAGGAGAAGAUAAUAAAUAUAAAUUUGACCGUUUUACUAUCCUUGAGUGAGGUAUUGAUAUUUUACUUUUCAUUAUCUGAAGUAGUUGAAAAUUACGCAAAAUGAUAUAUGUAUUCCUCUUUACCAUAUAUUGCAAAUCUAGAAAAAGUUUUAAAACUGAUGAAAACAGAGAAUGAUAAAUCUCAAUUGUAAUAUUGAUCAUUGCUUAGAAUAAUCCGAGUUAAAUAAAUUUUUGCUACGAGGACUUAGUGUGC
Solanum dulcamara is the source of this 1496-nucleotide long non-coding RNA. RefSeq lists it as uncharacterized. The transcript has 6 exons. NCBI's taxonomy places the organism in Eukaryota, Viridiplantae, Streptophyta, Magnoliopsida, Solanales, Solanaceae. The record is from RefSeq and is a predicted model, not a curated record.